CCAAAAAUUUCCUUCAAAGGAGAAGAAGGCAUAGAUAUAGGUGGAUUGACACGUGAACUUCUAACACUACUGCUAUUCAAUUUGAAAGAAGAUGAAACUUUGUUUGAAGGCGAUGAUAAUGAAAAGACUCUCACCUUGAAUAAAAGGAAUCUUAAACAAGGCCGCUAUAACCUUGUAGGAAAAGUUAUCCAACUCUCCUUCCUAAACAAUGGGCCUGCUCCCAAGUUUUUUUCACCCCAUCUAUUUCAAUUGAUGGUUCAUUCAGAUGUGCCUGUCAAAGAACUGAAAGUGCGCAACGCAAACUUGGCUGCACAGCUAGAUGAUUUCAGGAAGUGUGAAACACCACGGGAUUGUAAUCGGCUUCUUGCAACGGACCUGAAUGAUUUCGUAAGAUGGGUAGGCACAAAACAUUGUGUGACCCAAGAAGAAUUUGAAGAGGCGAAAGAAGAAGUCAUUAAUGAUGUGAUCGAACAUUAUUGCAAAAUAAGGAUUUCUGAACCCCUCCAGCAACUAAAAGAGGGUCUCAACCAGGAAACACUUUUUUGGAACAAAUUCAAAAGAAUCCAGGAGCCUUUAAAUCUUUUUUUUGUUACGAUGAGAACACCAAACUUGAAGCCCGGGACAUCCUUACAUUGUUUCAUUUGCAACCGACCACUGAUCAGGAGGAGCUCAUUUCAGAUUGGUGGCAAUUGUUUGUCUUUCAAGUAGAAGAGGGGCUGUCCUCCAUCAGUCUCAGUGAUAUUUUAUCCUAUGCAACUGGAUGCAGUAAUUUACCUGUCGCUUUUGAGCACCGCCCUCGUAUCAGCUUUAUUCCUGAAGAUGUUCCAAGGGCAACUGAAUGUUUCAACACAUUAAAGUUACCGCUACUCUCUCCAGACUUCGAAACCUUCAAAAGAACAAUGGAGAAUUGCCUACAACAGAAAGUAUUUCUCACUGCUUAAGUUCUUGAGUUGGAGAGCAUUAUGCUAAUCAAAUUGAUGGAUGAAGGCAACUUCUGAUUUGAUUUAGAAAAAAGAAAAAAGAAACUUUCAUCUUUUUCAAAAAAAACUUUCUUUUUUAUGAUUCCAUUUUCUUAUCUCUCGUGUCUUUUUGCUUAAUUUUACAGUCUGAGUUGACUAAUGCCGGAAGUAGAAUGCUAAUAAGCUGCUCAGAACUAAAAUUGAUAAUUCUGGUUAUUUUUCCUGCCCCAUUAAUGUAUUAUUCUGUUGUAUUAUACAAAGACAUUCAGCAUGCACUCCUCAUUAUUGCAUUAACACUAACUCCUGCCAAGAUCUCAUUUUAAAAUUAUAUUAGAUUGAUAGAUCUCAGAUUUAAGUAGAGUAUUUAGGACCUUCUUCAAUAGUCUUCAUUUAUAUUGCUGAAAGUCUCCUCUUUUUUUUUGUUGCUAAUGACAUUUUUUUAGUACUUCUUCUUUUCUCUUGAAGCAUUCACAGUUGAGGUGGUCAAAGCCUAGAGUCCACAUAAACACUGAUAUAUUAUUAAGAUUGUGAAUCAAUUUUUUGUCUGAUAAAAAGGAUAUCAGGUGCUCUGGCUCAAAAUUUUCACUGCAGAUUCUCUGUGUGGUUUGCUAUUUUUCUGAGAAAAGACUGCGAACACUUAUGUGCCUGCAUUAAUGUAGUGGAAGAAAUAUAAUUGGUCACACAAUCUUAGCAACAAGGCAGUGCUCUCUGUAUGUUCUGACUAUGCUUGUCUUACUGUUGGAUUGAGGAAGCAAAAAUUACGAACGAAGAUACCGGGUGGUCUGGAUCACCCGGUAGGUUCACGUAACAAACUUUAUUCAGAGGAGCGGCUUGCUGCUGAGGGGGCUAGCAGAACAAGUGAUCGCACCAACAUUUGAUAUUCAUAAACAGGAUAGGAAGUCAACAUGUUGCAUCAUUAAUAAGGUGGAUCCUCAAUAUCUAGAUAAAGCAAUUUACUUGAGCGUAACCUUGAAAUAAUUUUCAAUCCUUGAUUGAGACUCAUAUCAUGUUCAAUUUUUUAAACUGUGUUUUUUCAUGCUUUAUUACCUGUUGUGAAUGUUUAAGACUUCAGUCAACACUCCUGGUGAGUAGGUUUUGUAUCCGCCAAUUUUUGUGCUGUUCUCUUAUUACCUUUGAAAAAGGUUGUACAUAUGUUUUGUUGAGCUACAUAGCUUACUGUGUUCAUUAAUAUUAAACAGUUCGUGGCGCUAUUAGAAAUAUCUACUGUAAAUUUUUUUUGGUUGGAGAUACUUAAGCAUUUUCUUUAGCUUUUGGGUGCACACAAUUUUAUUUGCCUUGGUCUUGUAUUGUUUAAUUAUUUUUUACUUAUGACAGGUAUGGAAUAUUCUUGAAUUUUGUAUCCUAUUUUGUUCGAACGGAAAUUGCAAUGUGGAUAGUGGAUUAAUGAUUAUUUGUGUUAUUAUUUUUAUCUUGCCUACAAAUUUGCUGAUUUAUUCCUGGAUUGUCAAUGUUUCUCAGAGGAAGUGGGUCAUUUCGUCACAGAAAGUAAAAAAAUUAAGAAAGAGGGAUAAUUAUGUGAACAGCCCAUAGUUAGCUUGAACUUCAGCUUUGAAACUUGCACCAAGCCAUGCACCUACGUACUACAAAACAGCAUCUUUAUUCCUUUUGUCUGCAGGAAAAAAAAUCACAAGUUGAGAGUUGUUUCUGUAAGUUUCAAAGGCAGGAAGAUCUGUAGAUUUUAAUGAAACCAAUCUUACUCCAAAGUUAUCGGGACGUUGUGGAUUCAUUACAAUCUGUAGUCUGGUAUCUAAUUCGAGCUUAUAUGUCAAUUUUCAGGGCAAUUCUUUCUUAGAAUGUAAAGCGUUUUAUACAGAAAUAUGUUUCGCAAGGUACUCAUUUGUCAAGUGAAUUGUAAUUCUCCCUCAUGUAUAAUUGAAUAUGACCUUUUAAAUUCUCUAUGUGGUCCAAGUUGGAAACUUUCUGCCUCUUAAUUCAUGUGUUAGUAUAAUGAUGAAAUAUGUUUCAUUUUUUCCAUUGAUUUUUAAUUUAGCAUGUCUUACAACAAGUGAAUGUAUUACUUCCAUUGGGAGAACGUUUAUCUCAAUUCUAAACUUUAAGCUUCGUUUGUUUCUUUUAUUCAAAAUAAAAUGUUCAUUUUUCAAGUUUAAGUUGCUGAUCACUCAUGUCAUACUCCUACAGAUGAUUAGAUCACAAGGUUACAUCUAAAGUAA
This 3151-nucleotide long non-coding RNA is filed under the name Bemisia tabaci. RNAcentral describes it as "lncRNA ENSSSA3NGG001007". The record is from RNAcentral. Lineage: Eukaryota; Metazoa; Arthropoda; Insecta; Hemiptera; Aleyrodidae.